This 327-nucleotide ribosomal RNA is filed under the name uncultured bacterium. Its description in RNAcentral is "bacterial SSU rRNA". It matches the Rfam family "Bacterial small subunit ribosomal RNA", at positions 355 to 696 of the family's 1533-position model. The record is from RNAcentral.
UGGGGAAUAUUGCACAAUGGGGGAAACCCUGAUGCAGCGACGCCGCGUGGAGGAAGAAGGUCUUCGGAUUGUAAACUCCUGUUGUUGAGGAAAAAGAGGAUGGUACUCAACAAGGAAGUGACGGCUAACUACGUGCCAGCAGCCGCGGUAAAACGUAGGUCACAAGCGUUGUCCGGAAUUACUGGGUGUAAAGGGAGCGCAGGCGGGUAUGCAAGUUGGGAGUGAAAUUACAGUGGGCUACAACCCAUGAACUGCUCUCAAAACUGUGUAUCUUGAGUAGUGCAGAGGUAGGCGGAAUUCCCGGUGUAGCGGUGGAAUGCGUAGAUA